GCUUGUGUAGCACAGCUGGUAGUGCAGUUCAUUCGUAAUGAACAGGUCGCAGGUUCAAAUCCUGUCACAAGCU
This 73-nucleotide transfer RNA is filed under the name Ruminococcus sp. RNAcentral describes it as "tRNA-Thr". It matches the Rfam family "tRNA". From Rfam's summary of the family: Transfer RNA (tRNA) molecules are approximately 80 nucleotides in length. Their secondary structure includes four short double-helical elements and three loops (D, anti-codon, and T loops). The record is from RNAcentral. Lineage: Bacteria; Bacillati; Bacillota; Clostridia; Eubacteriales; Oscillospiraceae.